RNAcentral lists this ribosomal RNA (440 nucleotides) under uncultured bacterium. RNAcentral's name for it is "partial 16S ribosomal RNA". It matches the Rfam family "Bacterial small subunit ribosomal RNA", at positions 338 to 795 of the family's 1533-position model. The record is from RNAcentral.
CCUACGUGAGGCAGCAGUUGGGAAUAUUGCACAAUGGGGGAAACCCUGAUGCAGCGACGCCGCGUGAGUGAAGAAGUAAUUCGUUAUGUAAAGCUCUAUCAGCAGGGAAGAAAAUGACGGUACCUUAGUAAGAAGCCCCGGCUAACUACGUGCCAGCAGCCGCGGUAAUACGUAGGGGGCAAGCGUUAUCCGGAUUUACUGGGUGUAAAGGGCUCGUAGACGGCAGUGCAAGUCUGGAGUGAAAGGCGGGGGCUCAACCCCCGGACUGCUCUGGAAACGGUACGGCUGGAGUGCAGGAGAGGUAAGUGGAAUUCCGAGGGUAGCGGUGAAAUGCGUAGAUAUUAGGAGGAACACCAGUGGCGAAGGCGGCUUACUGGACUGUAACUGACGUUGAGGCUCGAAAGCGUGGGGAGCAAACAGGAUUAGAUACCCUUGUAGUC